RNAcentral lists this ribosomal RNA (274 nucleotides) under uncultured bacterium. RNAcentral describes it as "partial 16S ribosomal RNA". It matches the Rfam family "Bacterial small subunit ribosomal RNA", at positions 523 to 796 of the family's 1533-position model. The record is from RNAcentral.
AUACGAAGGGGGCUAGCGUUGUUCGGAAUCACUGGGCGUAAAGCGCGCGUAGGUGGAUCAAUUAGUUGAGGGUGAAAUCCCGGGGCUCAACCUCGGAACUGCCUUCAAUACUGUUGAUCUUGAGACCGAGAGAGGUGAGUGGAAUUCCUAGUGUAGAGGUGAAAUUCGUAGAUAUUAAGAAGAACACCAGUGGCGAAGGCGGCUCACUGGCUCGGUACUGACGCUGAGGUGCGAAAGCGUGGGGAGCAAACAGGAUUAGAAACCCUAGUAGUCC